GACGAACCGUGCGAACGUUAUUCGGAAUCACUGGGCUUAAAGCGCGUGUAGGCGGGACGGCACGUCUGUCGCUGAAAUCCCCCGGCUUAACCGGGGAACUGGCGUAGAUACGACCGUCCUGGAGGAGCGUAGGGGGACCUGGAACUUCCGGUGGAGCGGUGAAAUGCGUUGAGAUCGGAAGGAACGCCCGUGGCGAAAGCGAGGUCCUGGACGCCUACUGACGCUGAGACGCGAAAGCCAGGGGAGCGAACGGG
Molecule: ribosomal RNA, 254 nt
Filed under: uncultured bacterium
Lineage: Bacteria
Description: partial 16S ribosomal RNA
Rfam family: Bacterial small subunit ribosomal RNA
Source: RNAcentral